GAUGAACGCUGGCGGCGUGCUUAACACAUGCAAGUCGAACGGAAAGGCCCAAGCUUGCUUGGGUACUCGAGUGGCGAACGGGUGAGUAACACGUGGGUGAUCUGCCCUGCACUUCGGGAUAAGCCUGGGAAACUGGGUCUAAUACCGGAUAGGACCACAUUUUGGAUGGUGUGGUGGAAAGUUUUUCGGUGUGGGAUGAGCUCGCGGCCUAUCAGCUUGUUGGUGGGGUAAUGGCCUACCAAGGCGUCGACGGGUAGCCGGCCUGAGAGGGUGUACGGCCACAUUGGGACUGAGAUACGGCCCAGACUCCUACGGGAGGCAGCAGGGGGGAAUAUUGCACAAUGGGCGCAAGCCUGAUGCAGCGACGCCGCGUGGGGGAUGACGGCCUUCGGGUUGUAAACUCCUUUCGCUAGGGACGAAGCGUUUUUGUGACGGUACCUGGAGAAGAAGCACCGGCUAACUACGUG
Molecule: ribosomal RNA, 467 nt
Filed under: uncultured bacterium
Lineage: Bacteria
Description: partial 16S ribosomal RNA
Rfam family: Bacterial small subunit ribosomal RNA
Source: RNAcentral